Anopheles coluzzii is the source of this 2056-nucleotide long non-coding RNA. RefSeq lists it as uncharacterized. The transcript has 2 exons. Lineage: Eukaryota; Metazoa; Arthropoda; Insecta; Diptera; Culicidae. The record is from RefSeq and is a predicted model, not a curated record.
GGGACACAGGGGGGGGACGAUCGUGUUUUAGUCAUCAAUCAAAACGAUCUCCGGCUUUCGGUUGUCGCAAGAGCCGCCGCUUGUUUGUGCAAUCGAUAUCUCGUACAGUUGGUUUUGUGUUACACAUAGCCUUGUUUUAGCAGAAGUGCGGGAUGAUGUAGGCGUGCAAUGCUUUCGAAACAUGUCGAUGCUGGGUGGUGUAGAGCCUUAACACGGGGAGAGGGCUGCAGGUGCUGCCCAACACAAGCUGUACAAUUGGGCGGGGAGCAAAAGCAAAAGCAACAAUUAAUUCCUAACAACAUUAACGGAGCAAACAGAAAAAAAAACAAAACUAUUUGUGAUGAUUUGUGUCCCUUUAAUCACACAGAGAGAGAGAGAAACACACAUACACACACAAACUGAACCAAUAAUGUGCAAUUUCUAAGCGAAUACAUUCCAAAUGUGUGUAACUGUGCCACCUCGUGUGAGCUGUGUGUUGUGAUGUGCGGUGUGAUGUCAAAAUGCAAGCAUCAAACAACAUAACGCCCGCCGAGGGGAGAAAAAAGAAUAAUUUAUGUGAAUAAUGUGGGCACACAUAAAAUGGUGGGCAGAGCAGAGAGACUCUACAGCAAAGCAAACCAACUGAACUGGACAUUCCUGAUGUAAUGAAAAAAAAAAAAAAGAAAAGUGAACACACACACACACAAAAAAGCUAAAGCAAAUGUAAACUAAUGACUGUUCCACGUGGUGUGAAAUAUGAUGAGUGGGGUGAAGAAAGCGAGCCGGUGGUGUGACCCGUCCCCUGUAAAAAGGGUGCGAGCUGAAUAGCGCGAGAAAUUUAUAUUUAUUGAUUGUCGUCGUAAUGUGUCGGAAUACGUCCGGCCGGAAAAAAGGGGACCACCGGCCCCGACCACAAAAGCGUGUCGUCACUCACUCUGUUUGCUGUUUUGUAAAACUGGAAAAGGGGCGGCUCCCACGAGCCCGCAAGCACAAAUCAACUGAAAGAGGUAAAACACAAAAAUCACUAACUAUAAAAAGCAAAAAACAGUAAAACAAACAAAACUUUAGCAUUAAAUGAAAACCAAUACAAGUAAGUAUGGGAAAAGGAAGCUAAACAAACACAAAAAGCAAGCAAGCAACCGGUCUGUCUGUAUCUCCUAAAGUUUGUAGAGCGUGUAGUAUGUAGCGUAGCUAAAAACAAAUCGUGUACGCAUCGUAGCAGAAGGGACGCAGUGUAGUAGUGUGGUCUUGGCGCAGGCAAAGGCGCAUUGGUGCGCGAACACAAAGUGCAAAUAGAUGGGAUCGUUGGAGGUUGGAGAGGAAAAACAAACACGGCAGGGCAAAAUAGGGCAAAAGGGAGCAAUGAUAAAACUGCGCCACACAAGCGUUGUGCUGUUUGUUUGGAUGAAAAACGCAACACACGAACAAGUUAAGAAAGAAAGAAAGUUAAGAAAACAGAAGAAGAAAGAAGUGGAUCAAAAAAAGAGGGUGAAAAAAGGAAAGAUGCAAGCGUCAAAACAUUCGAAUGUAAGUGAUUAGGUUUAGCCUACAUAUAUACACACACACACUCCCUCCCCCCCCCUACACACAUACAAAUUGCAUACUGAAUAGGCUCGCCUAGUUGGCUAAAUAGUAUUUUUUCCAUAUAGAUGAACCCCUCUACUGCGUUUACUACUUUGACUACAGCUACAAGCGGAAGCGAAAGGACAAGGAGCAAGAGAAAAUAGUAGAAGAAGAAGAAGAUGAAGAGGAAGAUACAAAAGACAGCCCCACAAAAUGAUGGAUUAAUGGUUAAAUUAGUUUUCCCCUCCACGCCGCCACCCCCCCGGCAACCAUCAAGCAGUGGACAAUAGAGAGAGAGAAAAGGGAGAGAACACCUAAUAACUAAUAGCAAAAAACAAACAAACAAGCAAAUAGCGCCUCUUCACCCGCAAAAGAAAGCAACAACAGGACAGAAAGAGAGAACAAAAAGCUCCCCCUUACAAAUCAAACCACAAAAAACAGUUGAACAAGUUUAUCAUUAAAAGACUGCUGUGAUUUUAACGUAAUAAUGAAUAAAAGAAAAAUAGAAAAGCCA